UACAGAGGGUGCAAGCGUUAAUCGGAAUUACUGGGCGUAAAGCGUGCGCAGACGGUUGCGUAAGUCAGAUGUGAAAGCCCCGGGCUCAACCUGGGAAUUGCAUUUGAGACUGCGUAGCUAGGGUGCGGAAGAGGGAAGCGGAAUUUCCGGUGCAGCGGUGAAAUGCGUAGAUAUCGGAAGGAACACCAGUGGCGAAAGCGGCUUCCUGGUCCAGCACCGACGUUCAGGCACGAAAGCGUGGGGAGCAAACAGG
Molecule: ribosomal RNA, 253 nt
Filed under: uncultured bacterium
Lineage: Bacteria
Description: partial 16S ribosomal RNA
Rfam family: Bacterial small subunit ribosomal RNA
Source: RNAcentral